CCUACGGGAGGCAGCAGUGGGGAAUAUUGGACAAUGGGCGCAAGCCUGAUCCAGCAAUGCCGCGUGAGUGAUGAAGGCCUUAGGGUUGUAAAGCUCUUUCGCACGCGACGAUGAUGACGGUAGCGUGAGAAGAAGCCCCGGCUAACUUCGUGCCAGCAGCCGCGGUAAUACGAAGGGGGCUAGCGUUGUUCGGAAUUACUGGGCGUAAAGGGCGCGUAGGCGGCCUGUUUAGUCAGAAGUGAAAGCCCCGGGCUCAACCUGGGAAUAGCUUUUGAUACUGGCAGGCUUGAGUUCCGGAGAGGAUGGUGGAAUUCCCAGUGUAGAGGUGAAAUUCGUAGAUAUUGGGAAGAACACCGGUGGCGAAGGCGGCCAUCUGGACGGACACUGACGCUGAGGCGCGAAAGCGUGGGGAGCAAACAGGAUUAGAUACCCCGGUAGUCCACGCCGUAAACGAUGAAUGCUAGACGUCGGGGUGCAUGCACUUCGGUGUCGCCGCUAACGCAUUAAGCAUUCCGCCUGGGGAGUACGGCCGCAAGGUUAAAACUCAAAGNUAGUGGACGUGAGACGUAGCGACGACGCACGACGGAGGUAGG
Molecule: ribosomal RNA, 593 nt
Filed under: uncultured bacterium
Lineage: Bacteria
Description: bacterial SSU rRNA
Rfam family: Bacterial small subunit ribosomal RNA
Source: RNAcentral